RNAcentral lists this ribosomal RNA (499 nucleotides) under uncultured bacterium. RNAcentral's name for it is "partial 16S ribosomal RNA". It matches the Rfam family "Bacterial small subunit ribosomal RNA", at positions 28 to 523 of the family's 1533-position model. The record is from RNAcentral.
GACGAACGCUGGCGGCGUGCUUAACACAUGCAAGUCGAACGGUGAAGGUGGGAGCUUGCUCCUGCUGGAUCAGUGGCGAACGGGUGAGUAACACGUGAAUUACAUGCCCUUCAGUGAGGAAUAGCCCAGGGAAACUUGGAUUAAUACCUCAUGGUCUCGCAAGAGUAAAGGCGGCGCAAGCUGCCGCUGAAGGAUUGGUUCGCGCCCUAUCAGCUAGUUGGUGAGGUAACGGCUCACCAAGGCGACGACGGGUAGCCGGUCUGAGAGGACGAUCGGCCACACUGGAACUGAGACACGGUCCAGACACCUACGGGCGGCAGCAGUCGAGAAUAAUUCACAAUGGGGGAAACCCUGAUGGUGCAACGCCGCGUGGAGGAUGAAGGUCUUCGGAUUGUAAACUCCUGUCAUCCGGGAGUAAGACCUGGCGGUGAAUAGCCGACAGGGUUGAUAGUACCGGAAGAGGAAGGGACGGCUAACUUCGUGCCAGCCGCCGCCGUAA